RNAcentral lists this long non-coding RNA (665 nucleotides) under Homo sapiens (human). RNAcentral's name for it is "HSALNT0013305". Lineage: Eukaryota; Metazoa; Chordata; Mammalia; Primates; Hominidae. The record is from RNAcentral.
CGCUUCCUGGGCAGAAGUAAGUUGAAAAAGUGGCCAAGCGGGUGUGCUUUCGAUUUCCCCUCCUGGUGGAUGAAAGUCCUGAGGCAACCCUGGGAAGAUGGAAGUUCCGAGGCAACCUCUGGAUGUGAAAAUUCCUUGGCUGCUGCCAGAAAGAGCCUCAUAAAAUGCACAUCUGAUUAUGCCAUCGGCCUGCUUGAACCUCUUUUGCUUGGUUCCCAUUGCCUUCAGCAUACAGUUCAAACUUCCUAGUAUAACAAACAAGUCUGUUCAUGAUCUGGGCCCCACAGGCCUGUCUGCCUCCCCUCCCUUCCCCGCCACCUUCCUCUAGGUUCAUGCUGUAUCAAACUGCUCAGGGCUCCUCCAACUCACCAGGCUGUGGAAAUUCACCUGCUCUUCAUGAUGCCAGGAGUGCCUCUUCUGGAUUCUCCUUCUUGCCGACUCCUCCUAGGGGUUGCCUAGCUUUCCCUGACCCACAGGCUAAUCAUGAUGCUCAUCCCUGAGCCUCAGAGAUCCCUGCAGAACACAUAGCCAUGCUCCCAGUGUGUGCCACCUGUUUCCCAGUCUCACACCUUCAUGGACUUGCAGCACCUUGACAGUUGGGGCCCCCUAUGGCUGGUGCAUGUAUUGUCUCUGGCAUCAAAUAAUACCUAAUAUUAAAAACUGCA